GAUGAACGCUGGCGGCGUGCCUAAUACAUGCAAGUCGAGCGAACGGACGAGAAGCUUGCUUCUCUGAUGUUAGCGGCGGACGGGUGAGUAACACGUGGAUAACCUACCUAUAAGACUGGGAUAACUUCGGGAAACCGGAGCUAAUACCGGAUAAUAUUUUGAACCGCAUGGUUCAAAAGUGAAAGACGGUCUUGCUGUCACUUAUAGAUGGAUCCGCGCUGCAUUAGCUAGUUGGUAAGGUAACGGCUUACCAAGGCAACGAUGCAUAGCCGACCUGAGAGGGUGAUCGGCCACACUGGAACUGAGACACGGUCCAGACUCCUACGGGAGGCAGCAGUAGGGAAUCUUCCGCAAUGGGCGAAAGCCUGACGGAGCAACGCCGCGUGAGUGAUGAAGGUCUUCGGAUCGUAAAACUCUGUUAUUAGGGAAGAACAUAUGUGUAAGUAACUGUGCACAUCUUGACUGUACCUAAUCAGAAAGCCACGGCUAACUACGUGCCAGCAGCCGCGGUAAUACGUAGGUGGCAAGCGUUAUCCCGAAUUAUUGGGCGUAAAGCGCGCGUAGGCGGUUUUUUAAGUCUGAUGUGAAAGCCCACGGCUCACCCGUGGAGGGUCAUUGGAAACUGGAAAACUUGAGUGCAGAAGAGGAAAGUGGAAUUCCAUGUGUAGCGGUGAAAUGCGCAGAGAUAUGGAGGAACACCAGUGGCGAAGGCGACUUUCUGGUCUGUAACUGACGCUGAUGUGCGAAAGCGUGGGGAUCAAACAGGAUUAGAUACCCUGGUAGUCCACGCCGUAAACGAUGAGUGCUAAGUGUUAGGGGGUUUCCGCCCCUUAGUGCUGCAGCUAACGCAUUAAGCACUCCGCCUGGGGAGUACGACCGCAAGGUUGAAACUCAAAGGAAUUGACGGGGACCCGCACAAGCGGUGGAGCAUGUGGUUUAAUUCGAAGCAACGCGAAGAACCUUACCAAAUCUUGACAUCCUUUGACAACUCUAGAGAUAGAGCUUUCCCCUUCGGGGGACAAAGUGACAGGUGGUGCAUGGUUGUCGUCAGCUCGUGUCGUGAGAUGUUGGGUUAAGUCCCGCAACGAGCGCAACCCUUAAGCUUAGUUGCCAUCAUUAAGUUGGGCACUCUAAGUUGACUGCCGGUGACAAACCGGGGGAAGGUGGGGAUGACGUCAAAUCAUCAUGCCCCUUAUGAUUUGGGCUACACACGUGCUACAAUGGACAAUACAAAGGGCAGCGAAACCGCGAGGUCAAGCAAAUCCCAUAAAGUUGUUCUCAGUUCGGAUUGUAGUCUGCAACUCGACUACAUGAAGCUGGAAUCGCUAGUAAUCGUAGAUCAGCAUGCUACGGUGAAUACGUUCCCGGGUCU
This 1372-nucleotide ribosomal RNA is filed under the name uncultured bacterium. RNAcentral describes it as "bacterial SSU rRNA". It matches the Rfam family "Bacterial small subunit ribosomal RNA", at positions 28 to 1381 of the family's 1533-position model. The record is from RNAcentral.